Oryctolagus cuniculus (rabbit) is the source of this 47-nucleotide non-coding RNA. The record is from Rfam. NCBI's taxonomy places the organism in Eukaryota, Metazoa, Chordata, Mammalia, Lagomorpha, Leporidae.
CCACUGGAUUUACUAAAAUCCAUUUUUUCCUAACAGAAUAAUCAUUU